GGUCUGGUAGCUCAGUUGGAUAGAGCAACUGCCUUCUAAGCAGUAGGUCUCGGGUUCGAGUCCCGACCGGAUCACCA
RNAcentral lists this transfer RNA (77 nucleotides) under Prevotella sp. RNAcentral describes it as "tRNA-Arg". It matches the Rfam family "tRNA". From Rfam's summary of the family: Transfer RNA (tRNA) molecules are approximately 80 nucleotides in length. The record is from RNAcentral. Lineage: Bacteria; Pseudomonadati; Bacteroidota; Bacteroidia; Bacteroidales; Prevotellaceae.